RNAcentral lists this long non-coding RNA (216 nucleotides) under Salvia miltiorrhiza (redroot sage). Its description in RNAcentral is "long non-coding RNA (SMIL_LNC004517)". The record is from RNAcentral. Lineage: Eukaryota; Viridiplantae; Streptophyta; Magnoliopsida; Lamiales; Lamiaceae.
GGACAGAAUUUAUUACUUUGUUGAAUGAAUUAGUGAAAAACAGUAUCCUAUGUAGGACAAAAAAUCUAUUUUCAUUAUAUAUAAAGACAUCCAUGCUCUUUCUUUCUUUUUCUUUUUUCUUCGCAGAUUUUUUCAUUCUUAUUCUCCUGCUCAAAAUCGUCAACGAUCUUCAAGAAAUUCAUUCGAAUCUUCUCCUCUAUCACAAUUCACAACAAC